UGGAUCAGUAAGAUGAGCAAAAUCAAGCGUUGUUUUGAGACUGCAGCCAUUGACGCGCAACCUGCUUAAUUUGGAUCACAUGUAGUAGAAGUAGUAACAACCUUUGCUCUUGCACAUUAUAUAUUGGAUAGGUUGUAACAACCUUUGCUCUUGCACAUUAUAUAUUGGAUAGGUUGUUACAUGUGAAUUCUUGAAUAUUUUGGCUUAUUUUCUAUGUCUGCAUCCAAGAACACUGGGAAUCAGACAAUUAAUACUA
Molecule: long non-coding RNA, 256 nt
Filed under: Salvia miltiorrhiza (redroot sage)
Lineage: Eukaryota; Viridiplantae; Streptophyta; Magnoliopsida; Lamiales; Lamiaceae
Description: long non-coding RNA (SMIL_LNC007470)
Source: RNAcentral